Non-coding RNA from Lonchura striata (white-rumped munia), 290 nucleotides. Lineage: Eukaryota; Metazoa; Chordata; Aves; Passeriformes; Estrildidae. The record is from RefSeq and is a predicted model, not a curated record.
CAGAGGAACGCAGGGAAAUGGAAACCAAAUUUCUCAUGCAUGAGCCAUUCCCUUGCAGAAGAGGACACAGCCUUUCCCCACACCUUCAGAAGGGAAACAGGAACAGCCCUGAAGGAUGAUGGAGGAGGGAAAGCAAAUUCCAAGGCCCAGGAGUGAGCUAGCACAGGAAGGAAUUCUGAGACUGCCUGUGUACAGCCCCUGCUCUGCAGCCUGGACUUUCAGUCUGUUGUUCAGACUCCAGGUAUGGAGCUCUUGGACACAGCAGCAAAUAAAAAGUUCUUUUCACUGCC